This 272-nucleotide ribosomal RNA is filed under the name Goniomonas pacifica. Its description in RNAcentral is "partial Bacterial small subunit ribosomal RNA". It matches the Rfam family "Bacterial small subunit ribosomal RNA", at positions 1255 to 1526 of the family's 1533-position model. Lineage: Eukaryota; Cryptophyceae; Goniomonadida; Goniomonadaceae. The record is from RNAcentral.
CCGCGAGGUGGAGCUAAUCCCAGAAAACCGAUCGUAGUCCGGAUCGCAGUCUGCAACUCGACUGCGUGAAGUCGGAAUCGCUAGUAAUCGCGGAUCAGCUUGCCGCGGUGAAUACGUUCCCGGGUCUUGUACACACCGCCCGUCACACCAUGGGAGUGGAUUGCACCAGAAGUGGUUAGUCUAACCUUCGGGAGGACGAUCACCACGGUGUGGUUCAUGACUGGGGUGAAGUCGAAACAAGGUAGCCGUAGGGGAACCUGCGGCUGGAUCAC